AAGUAAAGGACUAAAGUGUAAGGUUUAGUCACAUUUUGUAUCAAGAUCAAGAAUCCAAAGAAGAACGAGGAAAAGAAAAAGUAAAGGACUAAAGUGUAAGGUUUAGUCACAUUUUGUAUCAAGUACUUAUCUAGUCACUCGGGGAUCGAAGGAAAUGUCGGAGGCCGAUCACACUAUCAAAGAAAUAACUCGGUAUAACUAGACGUUUUGUUUUGGGUAUGGCAUGUAUAGAAACUUAGCUACUUUUGGUAUAAUAUGAAUAAUGAAUGAUGUGUAAA
Molecule: long non-coding RNA, 278 nt
Organism: Gossypium arboreum
Lineage: Eukaryota; Viridiplantae; Streptophyta; Magnoliopsida; Malvales; Malvaceae
Exons: 3
Source: RefSeq, a predicted model, not a curated record